GGAGUAGUGGCUCAGUGGUAGAGCACUUACUUGGCAUGUGUGAGGCCCUGGGUUCGAUCCUCAGCUCCA
Molecule: transfer RNA, 69 nt
Filed under: Ictidomys tridecemlineatus (thirteen-lined ground squirrel)
Lineage: Eukaryota; Metazoa; Chordata; Mammalia; Rodentia; Sciuridae
Description: Spermophilus tridecemlineatus (thirteen-lined ground squirrel) tRNA
Rfam family: tRNA
About the family: Transfer RNA (tRNA) molecules are approximately 80 nucleotides in length.
Source: Rfam by way of RNAcentral